This 856-nucleotide ribosomal RNA is filed under the name Arthrocladium tardum. RNAcentral describes it as "LSU rRNA". It matches the Rfam family "Eukaryotic large subunit ribosomal RNA", at positions 62 to 938 of the family's 3401-position model. The record is from RNAcentral. Lineage: Eukaryota; Fungi; Ascomycota; Eurotiomycetes; Chaetothyriales; Trichomeriaceae.
AAGACAACAGGGAUGCCUCAGUAACGGCGAGUGAAGCGGCAACAGCUCAAAUUUGAAAUCUGGCCUCACGGCCCGAGUUGUAAUUUGUAGAGGAUGUUUUGGGUACCGCCGCGGUUUAAAUUUCUUGGAACAGAAUGUCAAAGAGGGUGAGAAUCCCGUCUUGGACCGCGGUAGGGCCUGUGUAAAACUCCUUCGACGAGUCGACUUGUUUGGGAAUGCAGGUCAAAAUGGGUGGUAAAUUUCAUCUAAAGCUAAAUAUUGGCCAGAGACCGAUAGCGCACAAGUAGAGUGAUCGAAAGAUGAAAAGCACUUUGAAAAGAGAGUUAAACAGUAUGUGAAAUUGUUGAAAGGGAAGCGCUGGCAACCAGACUCGUGCGCGGGGUUCCCCUCAGCUUCGGCUGGGGCUACUUCCCCGUGUCCGGGCCAUCAUCAGUUUUGGGGGUCGGUCAAAGGUUUCAGGAAUGUAUCCACGCCUUCGGGGGUGGACUUAUAGCCUGGAGCGUCAUGCGGCCACCUGGGACUGAGGAACGCGCUUCGGCGAGGAUGAUGGCGUAAUGGUUGUCAGCGACCCGUCUUGAAACACGGACCAAGGAGUCUAACAUCUAUGCGAGUGUUCGGGUGUCAAACCCUUGCGCGGAAUGAAAGUGAACGGAGGUAGGAAGGCUUUAGCCUGCACUAUCGACCGAUCCGGAUGUCUUCGGAUGGAUUUGAGUAAGAGCAUAGCUGUUGGGACCCGAAAGAUGGUGAACUAUGCGUGAAUAGGGUGAAGCCAGAGGAAACUCUGGUGGAGGCUCGCAGCGGUUCUGACGUGCAAAUCGAUCGUCAAAUUUGCGUAUAGGGGCGAAAGACUAAUCGA